RNAcentral lists this ribosomal RNA (468 nucleotides) under uncultured bacterium. RNAcentral's name for it is "partial 16S ribosomal RNA". It matches the Rfam family "Bacterial small subunit ribosomal RNA", at positions 28 to 507 of the family's 1533-position model. The record is from RNAcentral.
GACGAACGCUGGCGGCGUGCUUAACACAUGCAAGUCGAACGGAAAGGCCCUGCUUUUGUGGGUUGCUCGAGUGGCGAACGGGUGAGUAACACGUGAGUAACCUGCCCUUGACUUUGGGAUAACUUCAGGAAACUGGGGCUAAUACCGGAUAGGAGCUCCUGCUGCAUGGUGGGGGUUGGAAAGUUUCGGCGGUUGGGGAUGGACUCGCGGCUUAUCAGCUUGUUGGUGGGGUAGUGGCUUACCAAGGCUUUGACGGGUAGCCGGCCUGAGAGGGUUACCGGCCACAUUGGGACUGAGAUACGGCCCAGACUCCUACGGGAGGCAGCAGUGGGGAAUAUUGCACAAUGGGCGGAAGCCUGAUGCAGCAACGCCGCGUGCGGGAUGACGGCCUUCGGGUUGUAAACCGCUUUCGCCUGUGACGAAGCGUGAGUGACGGUAAUGGGUAAAGAAGCACCGGCUAACUACGUG